Molecule: long non-coding RNA, 2605 nt
Organism: Brassica napus (rape)
Lineage: Eukaryota; Viridiplantae; Streptophyta; Magnoliopsida; Brassicales; Brassicaceae
Exons: 4
Source: RefSeq, a predicted model, not a curated record
UUUUUUUAACUAUUUUUGUACAUUACAAUGCAGGUUCGUGUAUGACAUAUGAUUGUAAAGCCAUUGGAAGAUAUAUAUCCGAAAUGGGUCGAGGUUGAACCAUAUACUGAUUUUGAUAACAUGAUAGUUGACAUCCUCAAUGAUCAGCUAAAUGAUAAGUUUUGGGAUGUAGUGCCACGUACAAAGUGCAAGAAGAGAAAAACUCAUGUCAGCACAUAGAAUGUUUCCAAUACAAUGGAUGCGAGCCUCUCCACCAAAUGAAAGAAAGAGAAAGAAACUGCUCUAUAAAUAGUAUGUAGCAAGCCUUAUUAAACAUGAUGUUCCUUUUGUUAGUGGUUAAAUUGUUUUGGUGUGUUAAUACUGAAGGAACACAUCAUGAUUAUAAGCUACUGUGGGGAUUGGCGUUAAAUGUUUGUCUCAGUUUUGCAAUUCCUAGUAGCAAAUGCGUAGUAAUUUUUUAUACAUACAAUUUUCUGUAAUCGAUAUGCAACUACUUGAAUGAUUGUAGUCGCCAUAUAGUUACAAAUACUAUUUAAAUUUAUAUGAAUUUAAUUGUUCAUAUGCACUUAAUAAAAUAAUAAACCAAAAAAAAAACAGCUAUAGCUUGAAUCAAUUUGAGUAGCACUAUUUUAUUUUGUAGUAUCUCGUGUUUUAGUAAUUAAGUUACUUCUAUUACAUGGUUGUUUAAGGAAUAUAUUAGGGGUGUUUGGGGUUAGGUGGCUACUAUUUUGACACUAAUUUGUCACAGAAAUAGCGAUAAUGUAGUUGCCAUAUAGUUUCAAUGUAUUUGCUAUUGUAUAAUAUCACUUUUUCAAAUGUACUAUUGUUUAAUAUCACUACUAGUAAGUUAAUGAACAAAAUAAAAUCUAUAUUGUAAAUACGUUUGAGACAUUUUAAAAAACAGUUACAUAUCAACACCUGACAUUACUAAUUUCAGAAUAAUAUAGAAGCGAAUAUUAUGACUAUUUUAACCAUGUAGGAUUAUAUAGCACGGCGAUAUAUGGUGACUCCUAUAUAAAAGUUUUUUUUUCUUAGUCGUCCUUAAUCAACCCAAUCUCGAAUAAGAUUAUCUUUACACAUUAUGACAUAUGUUUAUCUUUUAUAUAAUAAAAAUUGCAAAUUAAUAGGUAUGUUAUUAACCAUAAUUAAGUAGCAAAUUUUCAAAUUAAUAUGAUAUUUAUUAUAAUUUGUAACCAAUUUGCAACCAUAUAUUGGAAAUAGUUGCUUUAUAGUCUCAUAAUCGGGCUCCAAAAAAUUUACCCCUAAAUUUUGUCUAAUUUUCACAUUAACCCGCCUAAUGUUUCAGAACAAACAAUUUACCCACCCUAAUACGACCACAUUACACAUUUAUAUUAAAAAGCCCUUAAGCAUCAUUCCUUUCUUCUUGACCUAAUCUCACUCCUCACAGAGAUAAAUUGAUGUUUGUUUUCGGUAGAUCACUAAAAGUUCGCGCAGGUGGUUGUGGCACGAGUCACGGUAGUGGUCGCGUUGGGAGUCAAUCUGGUGGCGUUAAUAGCUCUUACGGAAGAAGUUACUCUGCCUCGAACCCAAGCACUUCUAAUUCAAGAGAUUUAGUGUCUCUCCCUGUACAAUACGCACAUACUCAAACUUCUAUCCUAGAGAAUUCACCGACGUCGGAGCCUCAGCGUCAUCCACCGCACUUCCCUGGUUCCUCACCGACCAGUGAUGAUUCUUCUUUUUCAACGGAACACAAUCCUCAUCAAAUGCCGAAUCAAAACCUACGUCUUCCACCACCUCAGAAUCCAGUGACUUUUGAUGAUUUGCUGGCAAUUCCUAGACGUGAGACUAUCUUCCAGUCUUAUCACCGGUUACAAAAGACGAGUACUACUUGGUUUGAUCGUUAUGGUGGGAAGCUGGCUUGAAAGAUAUCAAAGCUCUUGAAACCAAAAUUUAACUCUCCUUAUUACUGCUGGUCAGAAACGCCCCCUAAAUUUGAAUGUCGAUAUUUUGAAGACUUUGCGCAAGGACAUCAUUGGGAUAGCUCGAUCACUACACUUGUACAAGAUGAGGUUGAUAUCAUCUGUUUAAAUCGGAUGAAAGGAAUUGUGUGUCAAGAAAAAGAGGAAAGGCAUACGACCACUUUGGAUUAGAGAUACAUUAUGGAAAAAAAUGUGCUCCUACUAGGCCACUGAUGCUGCCAAUAAAAAGAGUAAAACUGCAUCAAAAUGUCGGAACUCUGACCGUAGUGGACUUGUUCCUUUCAAGAACUUUGCAAAACAAAUGUCCUUUUUAUGGGUUCAACAAAAUAUGUAGGAAGAAUUGGGAAGACAUGUGAGUAUUGGAGAAGUGUUUAUAACGACACAUACAAAGGCUGACGGUACAUGUAGUGAUCUAAAGGCUCAGCAGAUCGCCCAAGCUUAUAAAAAACUAGACAGGAAGUUGUCCCAGGUUGAACAACGCUUUUUUGAGAAUUGUGUUGGUAGUUCUUAUAUUGCCGAGCUUGCCCAAAUGAAAUGAACUAGAUAUUUCUUGAGGUAAACCAUUUCACAAUUUUAAAGGUAUAAGAGUCAUUUGCCUCUUAAUAAAGAAGGUAUUUUAAAAAAUGUCUUUUUAGUGAUGGUAAACAUGAAUAAUGACACCAACA